This 757-nucleotide ribosomal RNA is filed under the name uncultured bacterium. RNAcentral's name for it is "bacterial SSU rRNA". It matches the Rfam family "Bacterial small subunit ribosomal RNA", at positions 76 to 819 of the family's 1533-position model. The record is from RNAcentral.
CUCUUCGGGGAUGAUUAAACCGGCGCACGGGUGAGUAUCACGUGAGUGACCUGCCUUUUAGACUGGAACAACUUACCGAAAGGUGAGCUAAUGCCGGAUGAGUUAUAUAAGUGCAUGUUCAUAUAGGAAAAGUUGGGGAGACCUGACGCUGAAAGAUGGACUCGCGUCCCAUUAGCUAGUUGGUAGGGUAAUGGCCUACCAAGGCGACGAUGGGUAGCCGGCCUGAGAGGGUGGCCGGCCACACUGGGACUGAGACACGGCCCAGACUCCUACGGGAGGCAGCAGUGGGGAAUUUUGCGCAAUGCUCGUAAGAGUGACGCAGCGACGCCGCGUGAAUGACGAAGGCCUUCGGGUCGUAAAGUUCUUUCGACAGGGAAGAAAAUGCCUAUAAGUAACUGUGUAUGUAUUGACGGUACCUGUAUAAGCAGCCCCGGCUAACUCCGUGCCAGCAGCCGCGGUAAUACGGAGGGGGCGAGCGUUGUUCGGAGUGACUGGGCGUAAAGAGCACGUAGGCGGUGUUGUAAGUCAUUAGUCAAAGACUAGAGCUCAACUUUAGUAAGGCUAGUGAUACUAUAAUACUAGAGUAUCAGAGAGGAUUGCAGAAUUCCUGGUGUAGCGGUGAAAUGCGUAGAUAUCAGGAGGAAUACCGUUAGCGAAGGCGGCAAUCUGGCUGGAAACUGACGCUGAGGUGCGAAAGCGUGGGUAGCAAACAGGAUUAGAUACCCUGGUAGUCCACGCUGUAAACGAUGGAUGCUAG